Leopardus geoffroyi (Geoffroy's cat) is the source of this 1358-nucleotide long non-coding RNA. RefSeq lists it as uncharacterized. The transcript is spliced from 2 exons. The record is from RefSeq and is a predicted model, not a curated record. Lineage: Eukaryota; Metazoa; Chordata; Mammalia; Carnivora; Felidae.
UGGGAUUUCCCCGUACGCCAUGUUGUCUCCAUCUUGGUAGUCUGGUCUAGAAAGACUCGUGUAAAAAAAAACAAAAAACAAAAAACAAAACCAUGUUGCAAAUAGGAAACAAGCUGCCUGUUUAAAGAGGUGAAGACAAGGCGCAUUGGAAUAGACUCGAAGGGUAAGAAGGGUGUUGAGGGAUAGCAUUAUUGAAAAGGUAGACCCUAACAGGUCAGAGUGUUGACAACCAAUGAGGCUAAGAACGAGGCACACACACGAGCAGAGGCCUGUUAGUGGAAAGUAUGAAGUGCACACGGGGACCAACAGAUGAUUCACUGAUUCGUUUUGGGGUCAGGUGAAAUGAAAGGGAACACCUGGAAAAAAAUGAGGGCACAGGUACAGGGCAGUCAGAUUAUGGACAGCCAUGACUGUUCCACUGCUAACGGGAUGCUGGUAUAGUUUUUCGUUUUUGUUUUUCUUUUUUUAACUGGUGUAGGUUUUUAAAACCAGAGGGUCACUGUCAAAAGCGUACCUUAGGAAGGUAACCCUGAUUGCACAGUGGUGGAAGAGCUGGAGGCGUCAAUCCCUGGGACAGAAAAGAUCAUUCAUUCAUUCAGUUCCUAUGACAACAGUAGAGUGUGGAACCAAACAUCUUGGCAUCACCCUUUACUCGCUUCUCCCUCUCAUACUCCACAGUCAAGCCACCUCUGGUGCCAUCUCUGGAAUACAUUCUACACCCAAGUUCUAUACCCUGCUGCCAACACCAAGGACGCAGUAUCCACCUCCUGCCAGGCUGCCUGGUACACACCAGGAUGGGCUACCCAUAAACAAGCCACAGCCUGGAUAUGGCUGCUGGCCUUGGCUGCUGAUCCCUGCCGUCCUUGAUCUGGAUCCUUUCUACCUCUCUGACAUCAUGAGUGUGCUCUCCAUCACUCCCUCUGCUCUAACUACACAGGCCCCUGCUCUGUUCUUCAGACAAGUAUGCUGCUCCCUCCUACCACAGGGCCUUGGCACAUGCGUUCCCCCUCUGCCUGGAAUGCUCUCCCUCUAAUAUUCCUGUGGCUCAUUCCCAGGUUUCAUUCAGUUCUGUGCUCACAUUUCUCAUUUGGAGAAGCCUUCUCUGAUCACCCCUCCUACAGGAAAAAAUCACCCUUAUUCUGUCAUAGUUUGCUGUCUCAUUUCUUGAGGCAUGUAUUAUUAGCUGAUAUGAUUUCACAUUAUUUCUGAUAUGUAUCUAUCCUCCUCUACUCCCCAGGAUAUAAGCUCCAUGAGUCUGUUGUGUUCUCUGCCACAACAGCACUUUUAUCAGUGCCGGGCAAACAGUAGGCACUCGUUCAUGUUUCCUGAAGAAAUAAAUAAUAAUUACAUCAAGUGGU